RNAcentral lists this ribosomal RNA (433 nucleotides) under uncultured bacterium. RNAcentral describes it as "partial 16S ribosomal RNA". It matches the Rfam family "Bacterial small subunit ribosomal RNA", at positions 29 to 507 of the family's 1533-position model. The record is from RNAcentral.
AACGAACGCUGGCGGCAUGCCUAACACAUGCAAGUCGAACGAGACCUACGGGUCUAGUGGCGCACGGGUGCGUAACGCGUGGGAACCUGCCCUUAGGUUCGGAAUAACUCCCCGAAAGGGGUGCUAAUACCGGAUAAUGUCUUCGGACCAAAGAUUUAUCGCCUUUGGAUGGGCCCGCGUUGGAUUAGCUAGUUGGUAGGGUAAAAGCCUACCAAGGCGACGAUCCAUAGCUGGUCUGAGAGGAUGAUCAGCCACACUGGGACUGAGACACGGCCCAGACUCCUACGGGAGGCAGCAGUGGGGAAUAUUGGACAAUGGGCGAAAGCCUGAUCCAGCAAUGCCGCGUGAGUGAUGAAGGCCUUAGGGUUGUAAAGCUCUUUUACCCGGGAUGAUAAUGACAGUACCGGGAGAAUAAGCUCCGGCUAACUCCGUG